GAUGAACGCUGGCGGCGUGCCUAAUACAUGCAAGUCGAGCGAACAGACGAGGAGCUUGCUCCUCUGACGUUAGCGGCGGACGGGUGAGUAACACGUGGAUAACCUACCUAUAAGACUGGGAUAACUUCGGGAAACCGGAGCUAAUACCGGAUAAUAUAUUGAACCGCAUGGUUCAAUAGUGAAAUACGGUUUUGCUGUCACUUCUAGAUGGAUCCGCGCCGCAUUAGCUAGUUGGUAAGUUAACGGCUUACCAAGGCGACGAUGCGUAGCCGAGCUGAGAGGGGGAUGGGCGCCUCUGGAACUGAGACGCGAUCCAGACUCCUACGGGAGGCAGCAGUAGGGAAUCUUCCGCAAUGGGCGAAAGCCUGACGGAGCAACGCCGCGUGAGUGAUGAAAGUCUUCGGAUCGUAAAACUCUGUUAUUAGGGAAGAACAAAUGUGUAAGUAACUAUGCACGUCUUGACGGUACCUAAACAGAAAGCCACGGCUAACUACGU
This 496-nucleotide ribosomal RNA is filed under the name uncultured bacterium. Its description in RNAcentral is "partial 16S ribosomal RNA". It matches the Rfam family "Bacterial small subunit ribosomal RNA", at positions 28 to 506 of the family's 1533-position model. The record is from RNAcentral.